UGUGUAGGCGGUUGUUUAAGUUUGGUGUGAAAUCUCCCGGCUCAACUGGGAGGGUGCGCCGAAUACUGAAUGACUAGAGUGCGGGAGAGGAAAGUGGAAUUCCUGGUGUAGCGGUGAAAUGCGUAGAUAUCAGGAGGAACACCGGUGGUGUAGACGGCUUUCUGGACCGUAACUGACGCUGAGACACGAAAGCGUGGGUAGCAAACAGGAUUAGAUACCCUGGUAGUCCACGCCCUAAACGAUGCAUAUUUGGUGUGGGCAGUUCAGUCUGUCCGUGCCGGAGCUAACGCGUUAAAUAUGCCGCCUGGGGAGUACAGUCGCAAGGCUGAA
RNAcentral lists this ribosomal RNA (330 nucleotides) under uncultured bacterium. RNAcentral describes it as "bacterial SSU rRNA". It matches the Rfam family "Bacterial small subunit ribosomal RNA", at positions 568 to 898 of the family's 1533-position model. The record is from RNAcentral.